This 881-nucleotide ribosomal RNA is filed under the name Staphylococcus aureus. RNAcentral's name for it is "bacterial SSU rRNA". It matches the Rfam family "Bacterial small subunit ribosomal RNA", at positions 64 to 923 of the family's 1533-position model. The record is from RNAcentral. Lineage: Bacteria; Bacillati; Bacillota; Bacilli; Caryophanales; Staphylococcaceae.
GUGCUUCUGAGAUUCUGAUGUUAGCGGCGGACGGGUGAGUAACACGUGGAUAACCUACCUAUAAGACUGGGAUAACUUCGGGAAACCGGAGGUGUCUAAUACCGGAUAAUAUUUUGAACCGCAUGGUUCAAAAGUGAAAGACGGUCUUGCUGUCACUUAUAGAUGGAUCUUUCGCGCUGCAUUAGCUAGUUGGUUUAAGGUAACGGCUUACCAAGGCAACGAUGCAUAGCCGACCUGAGAGGGUGAUCGGCCACACUGGAACUGAGACACGGUCCAGACUCCUACGGGAGGCAGCAGUAGGGAAUCUUCCGCAAUGGGCGAAAGCCUGACGGAGCAACGCCGCGUGAGUGAUGAAGGUCUUCGGAUCGUAAAACUCUGUUAUUAGGGAAGAACAUAUGUGUAAGUAACUGUGCACAUCUUGACGGUACCUAAUCAGAAAGCCACGGCUAACUACGUGCCAGCAGCCGCGGUAAUACGUAGGUGGCAAGCGUUAUCCGGAAUUAUUGGGCGUAAAGCGCGCGUUUAGGCGGUUUUUUAAGUCUGAUGUGAAAGCGAGACCACGGCUCAACCGUGGAGGGUCAUUGGAAACUGGAAAACUUGAGUGCAGAAGAGGAAAGUGGAAUUCCAUGUGUAGCGGUGAAAUGCGCAGAGAUAUGGAGGAACACCAGUGGCGAAGGCGACUUUCUGGUCUGUAACUGACGCUGAUGUGCGAAAGCGUGGGGAUCAAACAGGAUUAGAUACCCUGGUAGUCCACGCCGUAAACGAUGAGUGCUAAGUGUUAGGGGGGUUUCCGCCCCUUAGUGCUGCAGCUAACGCAUUAAGCACUCCGCCUGGGGAGUACGACCGCAAGGUUGAAACUCAAAGGAAUUGACGGGGACAAG